This 1291-nucleotide long non-coding RNA is filed under the name Mus musculus (house mouse). Its description in RNAcentral is "long non-coding RNA chr3:118842686-118843977". Lineage: Eukaryota; Metazoa; Chordata; Mammalia; Rodentia; Muridae. The record is from RNAcentral.
GAUGAAGUCUGGACUGUAAAAAAGGAUCAAAGAAUUCUUAUCCUGAAUGUAUUUAAUUGAAGUCUACUGGCUGGAAAACCAGUACCCCAAUGGAACAGAGUAAGUACAAUAAACCCUAUAAAUGUUAAAUGAAAGAAUAAAUCACCAAACCCAGAAAUUUCCUGAGGAUGUCUUGCACAUAUUCUAGAGCUGUGCAUUAUUAUUGAAUUAUAUCCAAGCCUGAUCAGAUGUACUUAUUAAAAAGUAUGAAAAUAUCUUUAUGUUUCUUACAAGACCAUUAUAGAAACAGAAGAGAAACUAUGUAUAUAAUAAAAAAUAAUUUUAUCUUAUUUUAUUGUGUUUUAUUUUUAGUCAGCCAGGCUAAUUUGCAGAUCCCAGCAAAGAUAUUUUCAAGAUAUUUUUGCAACACUAUUACAAAACAGGAUUCGAUCAGAAUAUUCUAGAAAUUGCAUUCAUAAAUACAUUUGGUAUAUAAUUAAAAAGUUAAGGAUGCAGUAAAUAAGAGGAUAUUGAUGAUAUGGCAAUGUAGAUGAUAUAUGCUCUGACAAUGGUAAUAAGAUAAAAAUAAUGGGAAUGAAGGUGUAUUAGACCUCGACGUGAACCAAAGUAACUGGUUGUUUAUUUUCAAUAGGUUGGUCAUUAUUUAUAGCUGAUGUAGUCCCUGAAUAUUAAUAGGAGCUCAUCUAACAAUGUAGUGGAAACUAUAAAAACAAAUAUAAUUUCACCAGAUACCAACCAGUAGAGGACAGGAUCUUUUAUCACUUUUUAAUAAUAGGAAUUUUUGAUACUACCUAAAAAUUAGCCAAUGAGGAGUAUUUGUAUUAUAUCAUACAUACAUAAAUAGAUGUUUGUUUAAAAUUUAAAAAGAAGCAAUCUGAGUAUUAAAAUAUGUAAGCAGCAGAGUAAAAAACAAUAACAUUAUUGAACUAAGUAAUAUCUUCACUGUGUGUUAAGAGAAAAUAAAUAAAGCAAAGGAAGACUUCAGAGAAGGCCAGAAUGUGCUAAUGCUGUGUCAACUGCAAAGUGAAAGAGAACUGCAGAGCUCCACAAUUAUCAAUGCAGACAUGUAAAGUUUAGACAGCAUUAACAUGUUUAAAGAAUGAUCUUCUGAGGAAGGAAAAAAACAAUUUCCAUUAUGUUAUUAAGAAAGCUCCUGGUAUGCCAUAUUAAUAAACAUUAACAUGAUAACCCCCAUGGAUAUUGAUAAUUAAUUUGAUAAAUUUUGAUCAUAUGAAAAAUAUAUAUUCUUAACACAAAAUAUGUAUGUUCUAGCCCAUAUUUAAUACUGUGC